GAUGAACGCUGGCGGCGUGCCUAAUACAUGCAAGUCGAGCGAACAGAUGAGGAGCUUGCUCCUCUGACGUUAGCGGCGGACGGGUGGGUAACACGUGGAUAACCUACCUAUAAGACUGGGAUAACUUCGGGAAACCAGAGCUAAUACCGGAUAAUAUAUUGAACCGCAUGGUUCAAUAGUGAAAGACGGUUUUGCUGUCACUUAUAGAUGGAUCCGCGCCGCAUUAGCUAGUUGGUAAGGUAACGGCUUACCAAGGCAACGAUGCGUAGCCGACCUGAGAGGGUGAUCGGCCACACUGGAACUGAGACACGGUCCAGACUCCUACGGGAGGCAGCAGUAGGGAAUCUUCCGCAAUGGGCGAAAGCCUGACGGAGCAACGCCGCGUGAGUGAUGAAGGUCUUCGGAUCGUAAAACUCUGUUAUUAGGGAAGAACAAAUGUGUAAGUAACUAUGCACGUCUUGACGGUACCUAAUCAGAAAGCCACGGCUAACUACGUG
RNAcentral lists this ribosomal RNA (497 nucleotides) under uncultured bacterium. RNAcentral describes it as "partial 16S ribosomal RNA". It matches the Rfam family "Bacterial small subunit ribosomal RNA", at positions 28 to 507 of the family's 1533-position model. The record is from RNAcentral.